GGGGGUGACAUGGUUUCGACGGGAGUAGUUGAGAUAAGGGUUGCAUGCCGAGGAUUCCGCAGGCCUCGUUAAAUGGGCGGAAAACAAUUUAAUUGCCGAUAACCAAUUGGCUUUAGCCGCUUAAGCGGCUCGUUCCGCUAAUUUGUUGCCUAUCAAAUUAGCCUGAGCGUAAAAAUUAUAGGCUGUGCUGGCUUGAGAUGUUCGGGGGCGAGUCAGCCAGAUAAACCUGAACUAGCUGGCCUUAAAUCCUGCAUCAGGGAGUUAUUAACAGCGAACAAGGAUGAAGAAUCCAAGAAAGCUGAUGACAAGCAUGUAGUAGCCUCUAUUGAGAUGCUUUCGGACGCGGGUUCGAUUCCCGCCACCUCCACCA
This 370-nucleotide transfer-messenger RNA is filed under the name Nitrospinota bacterium. It matches the Rfam family "transfer-messenger RNA". From Rfam's summary of the family: Bacterial tmRNA, also known as 10Sa RNA or SsrA, is named for its dual tRNA and mRNA-like properties. Lineage: Bacteria; Pseudomonadati; Nitrospinota. The record is from RNAcentral.